UUUUACGAAGAACCACCUUUUUCAAACUAAUAAUUUUGUUGAAGUUGUAAUGCCAAGUGUUUUUUUUAUAAUUCUGCUUCUUAACAAUUGAGUUGUUUUAUUAUUAUGUGGUUUAUAUUGUUUUAAUGAUUAUGAGUAACAUCCUGCUUGAUGAUUAUUUGUGAUUUAUUUAUGUAAUUGUCAAGUCGGAAAGUAGGAUGUUACAAUAAGCCUUAUGGGAUGAGGGUCGUCACAUGAAUUAUUAGUUCUU
Molecule: long non-coding RNA, 250 nt
Filed under: Lathyrus oleraceus (garden pea)
Lineage: Eukaryota; Viridiplantae; Streptophyta; Magnoliopsida; Fabales; Fabaceae
Description: Pisum sativum (pea) long non-coding RNA (PSAT_LNC033390)
Source: RNAcentral